UGUACUAUACUUUCAGGGAUCAUUUCUAUAGUUUGUAACUAGAGAAGUGUGGUUGAAAGUGUCUGAGGCUUCAUCUUCCUUUCUGAGGG
RNAcentral lists this small nucleolar RNA (89 nucleotides) under Gopherus evgoodei (Goodes thornscrub tortoise). Its description in RNAcentral is "Small nucleolar RNA U3 (ENSGEVG00005017203.1)". It matches the Rfam family "Small nucleolar RNA U3", at positions 1 to 88 of the family's 219-position model. Rfam says of the family: Small nucleolar RNAs (snoRNAs) are involved in the processing and modification of rRNA in the nucleolus. There are two main classes of snoRNAs: the box C/D class, and the box H/ACA class. Lineage: Eukaryota; Metazoa; Chordata; Testudines; Testudinidae. The record is from Rfam by way of RNAcentral.